UCUCCUUCUUGGGUCUCUUCCUUCCUUCUCUCUGGUUUCUCUGUCUCUGCCCCAUCCUUUCACCUGUCUCUUCUCCUUGCUCCUGCUCCCUCUCUCUCUCUCCCCCAGAGCUCUUACUCCCACCAGCCUCCCUCCUCCAAGCCUCCUCUCCUCCACCUCCAGAUGGCCCCUGCCUCCUUGCCCCGUGGGCCUUUGCCUCCCUCUCCCAUUCCUGCCUUGGCUGCUCCCAGGUCCUGACCAGGAGGCAGGAGUUCACACUGAGUCCCAAACAGGAUAGCCCUGAGCAGGCUCCAAGCCUGAGGCCCAGGAGUAGACAGACACCUUUGUGACUCCCAUUCUCUCUCUCUUUUCCAUCUGUCUGGAACCCUGGACGCUACCUGGAGGAAUCAGACCUGCCCAAGGCCCAGGAAGGCGAAAACAAGGAAAACGCUCAGAGACGGGAAGCAACUUGCCUAAAGAUACACAGCAUAUGAGAAAAUCGGUGCCCAGUGUUUCUGAAGAGCAGCAACUGCUAGGACAGGGACUUGGAAGGAACCCGACGAUAGCUGAGGAACCAGCAGUGCUCCCUGAAGGACACGGAGAGAAGCCGCCACAGGAGCCGGCCUGAGGCAUUCCGAGUGCGUGGAAUCUUCUCUCACCACCUACUUGCAAACGAGACACUGACAAUGAUCCCAGCAAAGAACAACGACCAGAAUGCCUGGGGGAGGAACAGGGGAUACUGGGUGAAAGGAGGGGGGAGGGAGAACUUGUAACAUUCUGUAAAAAUGAGUAUUUUUACUCCUAAUCAAUAUAUAAACAUCAUGGUAUGAAACGGCUGCACUUCACACAUUUUCAAGUCACCCUAUGGGUGGGUGGAUUGGCUCCCAUGGAAAUGCAGGUAGGGCUGUAUAUGGCAAACAAAGGAAAAUGGAAAUUUGUUCACACAAACCUGUCUGGGGAGACUGCAUUCCAGGAAAUGGACCAAAUUGAGUUUGUUUCUUUUGUAACAAAGUUGUGCCUUGCUGACUGGAAGGUGGGUACAAGCAAAGGAGGCUGGACUGACA
Long non-coding RNA from Saimiri boliviensis boliviensis (Bolivian squirrel monkey), 1043 nucleotides. RefSeq lists it as uncharacterized. The record is from RefSeq and is a predicted model, not a curated record. Lineage: Eukaryota; Metazoa; Chordata; Mammalia; Primates; Cebidae.